UCUCCGUAGGUGAACCUGCGGAGGGAUCAUUACAGAGUUCAUGCCCUACCGGGUAGAUCUCCCACCCUAUGUUAUUAUUACUUUGUUGCUUUGGCGGGCCGUUAGGCUCCGGCCCGACUACCGGCCCCGGCUGGUAAGCGCCCGCCCGAGGACCCAAAACCCUGAAUAUUAGUGUCGUCUGAGUACUAUAUAAUAAUUAAAACUUUCAACAACGGAUCUCUUGGUUCUG
RNAcentral lists this unclassified non-coding RNA (229 nucleotides) under plant metagenome. RNAcentral's name for it is "partial contains small subunit ribosomal RNA, internal transcribed spacer 1, and 5.8S ribosomal RNA". The record is from RNAcentral.